This 1449-nucleotide ribosomal RNA is filed under the name uncultured Bordetella sp. RNAcentral describes it as "partial 16S-23S ribosomal RNA intergenic spacer". It matches the Rfam family "Bacterial small subunit ribosomal RNA". Lineage: Bacteria; Pseudomonadati; Pseudomonadota; Betaproteobacteria; Burkholderiales; Alcaligenaceae. The record is from RNAcentral.
CUAGCGGGAUGCUUUACACAUGCAUGUCGAACGGCAGCACGACUUCGGUCUGCGGCGAGUGGCGAACGGGUGAGUAGUGCAUCGGAACGUGCCUAGUAGCGGGGAUAACUACGCGAAAGGUAGCUAAUACCGCAUACGCCCUUCGGGGGAAAGCGGGGGACCUUUCGCCUCGCAAUUAUUAGAGCGGCCGAUAUCGGAUUAGCUAGUUGGUGGGGUAACGGCUCACCAAGGAGUGACGAUCCGUAGCUGGUUUCCAGAGGACGACCAGCCACACUGGGACUGGAGACAUGGCCCAGACUCCCACGGGAGGCAGCAGUGGGGAAUUUUGGACAAUGGGGGAAACCCUGAUCCAGCCAUCCCGCGUGCGAUGAAGGCCUUCGCUGUAAAGCACUUUUUGGCAGGAGAAACGGCACGGGAUAAUACCCCGCGCAUCUGACGGUACCUGCAGAAUAAGCACCGGCUAACUACGUGCCAGCAGCCGCGGUAAUACGUAGGGUGCAAGCGUUAAUCGGAAUUACUGGGCGUAAAGCGUGCGCAGGCGGUUCGGAAAGAAAGCAGAUGUGAAAUCCCAGAGCUUAACUUUGAACUGCAUUUUUAACUACCGAGCUAGAGUGUGUCAGAGGGAGGUGGAAUUCGCGUGUAGCAGUGAAAUGCGUAGAUAUAUGCGGAGGAAUACCGAUGGCGAAGGCAGCCUCCUGGGAUAACACUGACGUCGGCGCACGAAAGCGUGGGGAGCAACAGGAUUAGAUACCCUGGUAGUCCACGCCCUAAACGAUGUCAACUUAGCUGUUGGGGCCUUCGCCUGCAGCGCAGCUAACGCGUGAAGUUGACCGCCUGGGGAGUACGGUCGCAAGAUUAAAACUCAAAGGAAUUGGACGGGGACCCGCACAAGCGGUGGAUGAGCGACGACCUGAUGCAACGCGAAAACCCACUCACCCUUGACAUGUCUGGAAUCCCCGAAGAGAUUUGGGAGUGCUCGCAAGAGAACCGGAACACAGGUGCUGCAUGGCUGUCGUCAGCUCGUGUCGUGAGAUGCUGGGUUAAGUCCUCCAACGAGCGCAACCCUUGUCAUUAGUUGCUACGAAAGGGCACUCAAUGAGACUGCCGGUGACAAACCGGAGGAAGGUGGGAUGACGUCAAGUCCCAUGGCCUGGCGGCAGGGCUUCACACGUCAUACAAUGGUCGGGACAGUGGCCGCCAACCCGCGAGGGGGAGCCAAUCCCAGAAACCCGGAUCGGGGUCCGGAUCGCAGUCUGCAACUCGACUGCGUGAAGUCGGAAUCGCUAGUAAUCGCGGAUCAGCAUGUCGCGGUGAAUACGUUCCCGGGUCUUGUACACACCGCCUGUCACACCAGUGGAGUGGGUUUUACCAGAAGUGGGUUAGCCCAACCGUAAGGAGGGCGAUUACCACGGUAGGAUUCAUGACUGGGGUGAAGUCGUAACAAGGUAA